This 489-nucleotide ribosomal RNA is filed under the name uncultured bacterium. RNAcentral's name for it is "partial 16S ribosomal RNA". It matches the Rfam family "Bacterial small subunit ribosomal RNA", at positions 29 to 507 of the family's 1533-position model. The record is from RNAcentral.
AUGCACGCUAGCGAUAGGCUUAACACAUGCAAGUCGAGGGGCAGCAUGGUCUUAGCUUGCUAAGACUGAUGGCGACCGGCGCACGGGUGCGUAACGCGUAUGCAACUUGCCUCACAGAGGGGGAUAACCCGUCGAAAGACGGACUAAUACCGCGUACACUCCAUCUUGGGCAUCCAAGGUAGAGGAAAUGAAAUUCGCUGUGAGAUAGGCAUGCGUCCCAUUAGCUAGUUGGUGAGGUAACGGCUCACCAAGGCGACGAUGGGUAGGGGAACUGAGAGGUUGAACCCCCACACUGGUACUGAGGCACGGACCAGACUCCUACGGGAGGCAGCAGUGAGGAAUAUUGGUCAAUGGGCGAGAGCCUGAACCAGCCAAGUCGCGUGAAGGAUGACUGUCUUAUGGAUUGUAAACUUCUUUUAUACGGGAAUAACAAGAGUCACGUGUGACUCCCUGCAUGUACCGUAUGAAUAAGCAUCGGCUAACUCCGUG